Molecule: ribosomal RNA, 451 nt
Filed under: uncultured bacterium
Lineage: Bacteria
Description: bacterial SSU rRNA
Rfam family: Bacterial small subunit ribosomal RNA
Source: RNAcentral
ACAGGUGCUGCAUGGCUGUCGUCAGCUCGUGUCGUGAGAUGUUGGGUUAAGUCCCGCAACGAGCGCAACCCUUGUCAUUAGUUGCUACGCAAGAGCACUCUAAUGAGACUGCCGGUGACAAACCGGAGGAAGGUGGGGAUGACGUCAAAUCAUCAUGCCCCUUAUGACCUGGGCUACACACGUGCUACAAUGGGAAGUACAACGAGUUGCGAAGUCGCGAGGCUAAGCUAAUCUCUUAAAGCUUCUCUCAGUUCGGAUUGCAGGCUACAACUCGCCUGCAUGAAGCCGGAAUCGCUAGUAAUCGCGGAUCAGCACGCCGCGGUGAAUACGUUCCCGGGCCUUGUACACACCGCCCGUCACACCACGAGAGUUUGUAACACCCGAAGUCGGUGAGGUAACCUUUUUGGAGCCAGCCGCCUAAGGUGGGAUAGAUGAUUGGGGUGAAGUCGUA